Molecule: long non-coding RNA, 1693 nt
Filed under: Fukomys damarensis (Damara mole-rat)
Lineage: Eukaryota; Metazoa; Chordata; Mammalia; Rodentia; Bathyergidae
Description: lncRNA (ENSFDAG00000028219.1)
Source: RNAcentral
CAGGAACUGGUGGUGGCCUGGGCUUGGAGGAUUUUCUAUUUAGAAAAAUGCCCUGAAUGUCCCUGAAGUUUUCAAUCCCAGUUCCCUUUUCUCGGCCAUCUUUGAAGCAGUUUCAUUUCUUAAACUGAUGCUACAGGGGAAUCUUCCUCUGAGGGCCCAGGCCUGCUAAGCUUCAGGAAAUGUGUGUGUGGGAGCAAUGGAUGGGGAUAUUUACUCCAGCGACAAUUGCAGAAGUGACAGGAGCAUGGGGCAGGCUGGGGAAUGCCGAGGCUAGGGUUUACUAGAGAGCGCGUGUGCCACACCAUACCAUGUGCUGGGGACGCAAACACAUGUCAGCGUCAGAGAGAUCAACGGGGACCCUGUCUACUGCUGUCCUGCGGCACACACCACUGCCUGGCCAGCACCAAUGCUCAGCAACUCUGAAGGACACAUAACAAGGGGCCCUCAAAAGACACGGUGAAUGUUUCAAUUAAAAAACAAUUUAUUAGCCGGGUGUGGUGGCGCAGGCCUGUAAUUCCAGCACUUGGGAGGCUGAGGAAGGAGGAUCGUUGUGAGUUUGAGACCAGCCUGGGCUACAUACUGAGUUCCAGGUCAGUCUCCACCACAUAGUGAGACCCUGUCUCAAAACAACAACAACAACAACAACAAAAAAGCAAUUUAUUACAGUAAAAGACACAUUGCCAUGAACGAUGGGAUGUGUGUGUUCAAAGUAAGAGGAAGAUUUUGAGGGAGAUCUAUGGCAAUGUGUCUUUUUACCGUAAUAUAAUUUUUAUGUAAGGAUUCACUAUAUUUUAUGAUCAACUCUCAUUGAUCGAACAAUGGUAAUUUUGGUCAAAUAAAAAUAUGAUGCUGUGAUCUCAUCUAUCUUAUUCAUGGGGUCUGGCACCGUGUGACUUUCGGCUUUUCCCAAAAAUCAAAAUGACCACAAAAGGUAAGUUUUGAAUGGAUUCAGGACAUCAAGGCAGCCACGACCUAGUGACUAGUGAAGCUCAUGAAAGAGAACUUCCAGUGCUGCUUCAGAAAGGGGCAAGAAUGACGGGAUCAGUGUGUUGGAAGUAAGGGGGAGAAUUCUGAAGGAAAUUCAUGGCAGUAUCUGUUAGUGUAAGACAUUUUUAAGAAGUAAACGCCACAUUUGAAUCACAUCUGGUAUUAUCACUGCACUGUGAGCUCACAAACAGGGAGAGGGAGGGUAAGUUCCUCAGGCCCGGGAGAAGUAGGGUUUGGAGCCAAAAUCGGCAUCCAGACCACCUCCUUGGAGCAUGCCCAGUGCAUAUCCUCCUGGGUCCCUUUAAGCUUCUGGGGUCUGAGGGAACCCUGGCACCUCUCCUAAACCGGAGUGCUUUGCUCUGGGUGAACAGGAGGAGCCUUGUACACAGCUGGGACCACAAAUAACCUGAGCCUGUCCAUCUGGGUCACUACUGGAACCAUUCCCAGGAACCCCCUUACCACCUGUCUCAGCCUGGGUCCCCCAAACUCAGAGCCCGAGACCAAGGUUGGUGCACAUGAAGCUAUCCCAGGAGUAGUGAAGAAGGGAGAGCCCCCCCAUGGGUGCUGGACACCAAGCUGGCUACUGCUUUGAGGUAUAGGGACUCUGUUCUGGAUUAGCUGUGCAGUCCUGGGGAUGAAGAGGGUAUAGGAUGCUCCUAGCAUCCCCUGGCCAGAGGAGGUCCUGGGCUUCAACUCUUCCUUCCAG